UACGGAGGGGGUUAGCGUUGUUCGGAAUGACUGGGCGUAAAGCGCGCGUAGGCGGAUCGGAAAGUCGGGGGUGAAAUCCCGGGGCUCAACCCCCGGAAUGGCCUUCGAAACUCCCGGUCUUGAGUUCGAGAGAGGUGAGUGGAAUUCCGAGUGUAGAGGUGAAAUUCGUAGAUAUUCGGAGGAACACCAGUGGCGAAGGCGGCUCACUGGCUCGACACUGACGCUGAGGUGCGAAAGCGUGGGGAGCAAACAGG
Molecule: ribosomal RNA, 254 nt
Filed under: uncultured bacterium
Lineage: Bacteria
Description: partial 16S ribosomal RNA
Rfam family: Bacterial small subunit ribosomal RNA
Source: RNAcentral